Molecule: ribosomal RNA, 253 nt
Filed under: uncultured bacterium
Lineage: Bacteria
Description: partial 16S ribosomal RNA
Rfam family: Bacterial small subunit ribosomal RNA
Source: RNAcentral
UACGGAGGGUGCAAGCGUUAUCCGGAUUCACUGGGUUUAAAGGGUGCGUAGGCGGUUCGUUAAGUCGGAUGUGAAAGCCCUCGGCUCAACUGAGGAAGUGCACCCGAAACUGGCGAGCUUGAGUACGAAAGAGGAUCGCGGAAUUCCCGGUGUAGAGGUGAAAUUCGUAGAUAUCGGGAGGAACACCGGUGGCGAAGGCGGCGAUCUGGGUCGAUACUGACGCUGAGGCGCGAAAGCUAGGGGAGCAAACAGG